RNAcentral lists this ribosomal RNA (300 nucleotides) under uncultured Salinicola sp. Its description in RNAcentral is "bacterial SSU rRNA". It matches the Rfam family "Bacterial small subunit ribosomal RNA", at positions 496 to 795 of the family's 1533-position model. Lineage: Bacteria; Pseudomonadati; Pseudomonadota; Gammaproteobacteria; Oceanospirillales; Halomonadaceae. The record is from RNAcentral.
GUUAACCCGAGUACAGGAGCCGCGGUAAAACGUGGGGGGCGUGUGUUUUUCGGAAGUACUGGGCCGAAAGCGCGCGUAUGCGGUUGCUCAAUUCAGAGGUGAAAGCCCGGGGCUGAACCCCGGAACGGCCUUUGAAACUAGGUGACUAGAAUCUUGUAGAGGUCAGUGGAAGUCCGAGUGUAGAGGUGAAAUUCGUAGAUAUUCGGAAGAACACCAGUGGCGAAGGCGACUGACUGGACAAGUAUUGACGCUGAGGUGCGAAAGCGUGGGGAGCAAACAGGAUUAGAUACCCGAGUAGUC